UCUGACUGCCAGAACAAAUUACCACCAACUUGGUGGCUUAAUACAACAGAAAGGUAUACUCUCACAGUUUGGAUUAUUAGAAGUAUAAAAGCAAGGUGUUGACAGAAUUGGUUCUUUCUGGACGGUUUGAUGGGAAAUUAGGUCUGUAUCUUUCUUUUAGCCUCUUAGCCUCUCAUGGUUUGCCAAUAAUCCUUGGCUUUCUUUACUUGUAACUGAAUAACUCCAAAGUCAGCUUCUGUCUUCACAUGGCCCUCCACCUCUGUCUGUAUCUCAAAUCCCUUUCAUUAUAUAUAUAUAUAUAUAUAUAUAUGUGUGUGUGUAUAUAUAUGUAUAUAUAUGUGUGUGUAUAUAUAUUUGUAUAUAUUUCUAUAUAAUAGCUUUUUUUCAACUUUUAUUUUAAGUUCAGGGGUACAUGCGCAGGAUGGGCAGGUUUGUUACAUCGGUAAAUGUGUGCUAUGCAUUUACUGCACAGAUCAUCCCAGCUUCCAUUAGCUAUCGUUCCUAUUGAUCUCCCUCCUCCAAUCACCCCCCUCCAGAGGUGCCCAGUAUGUGUUUCCCCCUGCAUAUGUCGAUGUGUUCUCAUCCUUCAGCCCUCACUUAUAAGUGAGAACAUGUGGUAUUUGGUUUUCUGUUCACGUGUUAGUUUGCUGAGGAUGAUGGCUUCCAACUCCCUUGAAUUUGUCCUUUCAGAUAAAAGGACAGCUUUUCUUCAGCUUGUAUGUUCUUGAGGAUGUCACAUAGCAAUCUUCAAGAACAGUUGUUUUUUGACAGGUGCCGCUUGGAAAGGUGCUCACUCAUCAUGGCAGGAGAAAUCAUGAAGCAAAAUGACAGCAAAGGUAAUGCCUAUGGAGAGCACUUUAUAAUCAUUACACAAUUUCCUCAGGGAUAAGAGAGGACAAUGAACACUGGACACAAAUAACCAAGAGGAGCAAAGAAAUUAUCAGCUCAAGAAAUAGAAAUCUGAACAAUCCUAUGUUGGGUUUUACAAUUACUGCUUUACCUCCACAUAAAUGCAUUAAGGAAAAUGCUACUAGAAUUUUUGGAUACAUUCUACUUGAGAUUAAAUUUGUUUCUGAGAAGCAUAAAUGAAUAAUACUGCUUCUUGUGCAUCUCCAACUUGGUCCUUACAUUCUUUAACAAGCUGUCUCCUUGCCAGAGAUGCUGUCCUGCCUGGGGAGACAUCUAGCAGUAAUCCACUUCUCCAAGUGAAAACUCACAAAGUAUUUAGGAAUCUAGUACAUACUCAGUUCCACACCGCUGAAAGACACAAGUGUGGUUUCUGAGAGGCAGAGUAUUUCUUGCUAGAGACAAUGGAUUUGCUUCAAAAGUAACAAUACAAUAUAGACGUUUUCAGCGGACCACCUCUGAUUUGUGACUAUCAUAGAAACUUUACCAAGAUGUUUGUCAUCUGAACACCAAUAAGAUUAACCAUUGUAAUAGCUCCUAAGAUUUCUAUCAUGAAUUUGACUGCACAUAUGUAUUGUUCAUCCCUAAAUCCUGGACUAGCAAAGCGCGGCACCACCUCACUGUUUGGCACAUGAAUUAACCUAAACCUACCAUAUUCUGAACCAAAGGUUUAGAUGUGUAAACCUAAACCCUAAAUCUAGACCACAGAUCAGAAAGUUACAGCCUACAGUACAAACCUGGCCUACUGCUAGUUUUUGUAAGUAAAGUGCCAUGGAAACAGAAUCUUGUCCAGUCAUUUAUAUGAUAUCUCUUGAUGUUUCUGAGCUACCACAGCAGAGGUGAGUAGUUAGGAUAGCCUACAAAGCCUAAAAUAAUUCUUGUUGGGUACUUUACCUAAAAAGUUUGCUAACUCUCCAAAUGCUCAGGGAAAACUUAGAUAUCUGAGCAUGAGAGGGAACAACUGAAUAUGUUAAUAGAAUGAGAAAACCUUAUCAAAUUCCUAAAUAUUAGCAAAAAGAACAGUAUUGCCACAUGAGAUUACCCUGAGAAGUAUCUUUCUAAACAACUCUGAGCUUUAAGUCAAUUUUUAUAUUGUAUUUUCUCAUUUCCCUACUAUUUAUUUAGAAACUACUAUAGGCUGGUUCUGUAACUACAGAGAUGACAACAUAUAGAUCCUCAAUGGCCUCAGGGGAUAAUGGUAACACAGAUAUAUGAGUAAAUACCUACAAUGCAGUAGUGCAGUUUUCUAGCUACUGGAAUGUAUAAAGGGGAAAGUGCUGAAUUACCAUGGCAGAGAGAGCUGUGAAUGAGAGAGAACUGUUCACAUGGAAUACACUAGACAACCUCAGAUUUGCAAAACAGUAAUGGUGUGAAUGAAGUGAUGGGUGAUUCCUGGCAGAGGGAAUAGCAUAAGGAAAGAACAUGCUGUGGUUCGGGAAAACAAAAUAAUUGGGGAGUAUAUUAGGCCAUUCUUAGAAUGCUAUAAAGAAAUACAUGAGGCUUGGUAAUUUAUUUUACAAAGAGGUUUAAUUGGCUCUCAGUUCUGCAGGCUGUACAAGCAUGGUGCCGACAUCUGAUCAGCUUCCGAGGAGACUUCGGGGAGCUUUUACACAUGGCAGAAGUGAAAGUGGAAGCAGACAGGUCAUAUCGUAAAAGCAGGAGCAAGAAAGAAUUGGGGGAGAGGUGCCACAUACGUUUAAAUGACCAGAUCUCACGAGAACUCACUCACUGUUGUGAUGACAGCACCAGACCUUGAGGGAUCCACCCCCAUGACACAAACACCUCCACCAGGCCCCACCUCCAACAAUGGAGAUUAUAAUUCAACAUGAGAUUUCAGUGGGGACAAAAUUCCCAACUACAUCAGAGAGUAAGAGAGAGUAAAGAGAAUGGCAAAAGUUGCUACUGGAGAAGAAUAGCGGUAUCAAACCAAAAAACAUCUUACCUUAUAUGCUGAGAGGUUUGGACUGUAUUCUAGAGCAAUAUUUCUAAACCUUCCAUUGUAUCAUUAAAGUUAUGUUUUUUUUAAAGGAAAGUGCUGUCAUAAUGCCAUCUACAUGGCAGAAAAAUAUUCUAGGGGCUGUUUGGAAAAUGUAAAUGGGAGAUAAACACUUGAAGACAGGAGACCAGCUAGAUAGUUUCUGGAAGAGCUAAAGGAAACAAUAACAAGUCUCUGAAUUAUGGCAAUAUCCUUAGGGGAAGAAGCCAUAGGUUUGAGAGAUAUUUCUUAGGCAAAACCAACACAGCCUAUUAGACAAGAUAGAGAAAGUGAGGUAGAGAAAGAGUCAACUGAAAAUGAUCUAAAGAAGAGCAACAGGUUAUCAAGGAUUCUUUUGUCCAAAUAACCUUGUGUCCAGGAGUGUAAAAUGCUGAGGGAAUACGACCCUGAUUAAACAGUUUUCACUAGAGGCAAAUAGAAGCAAAGCCAUUGUAAUGGACCAUCCAAUGGACACAACAGGGAGGAAAGCUGAGAUCCCAACAUGGCAGCACAGGAGCCUGCAGGGACUUUGAAAUGAAGGAGACAGAUUUCAAAAAGAGGGCUGUGAAUGGCAUCAGAGAAAUCCUUCUCCUAGUUUACCUAAAGUCAGGUUUCAGCAUAGUUGAAGAAUUCAGAAGAGGUAGAGCAGUAAACACUCCCUAAACUUUGUCCAAUAACAUAUAGGUUACUCAAAAACAGUUUUCCAAGUGAAAAAAAAAAUAGUGAUGGUAAACACUAACAAUUGGUACUUAAUAUGUGAUCUUUUAAUGUCAAACCAUCAAUGGUGGUAAAAUUUUUAAAUCGUUUACUUAAAAACUUUCCCUGAGGUGAAAAGCAAUAUUUAGUCACUUGAUUAAAUAUGUCAACUACAUAAAUGUAUUAAAAAAUAAAGAGCAGCCAGUAACAACUGCUAUUAUUUUGUUAUAUUCCUUUUUAUGCAUAAACUAGUUUUUAUCUAAUGUUUUACUUUCCCAUAUUAUAAAAUACAGUUUUCCCAUAUCCUCCAGUUUAACAUUCUUUUCCUUAUCUUUCAAACUAAAAUUGGCUCAAACAUCAACUUACUUACAGUAGGAAAUCUAAUGAAUGCUCCGUAUACUUCUGGAAAAUCUUUAAGAGUUUAUCUUUUUCCAGAACAAACAGUUGCUGCUUCCAGUGAGUUACUGAUGCCUUCUCUGAAUUUUGCCACUCUUGGGCACAUGGUUUAUUCCAUACUAUCCUGCUCUAAACAGCAGCUGAUAAAUUUAUUUACCAAUUUACCAGCUCAAGACUGUGUGACUAUAUACUUUACUGAAGAUCUAAUACAAUAGAAGGCAAUUAUAUUGUUGGUCAGUACAAUUAAAGAUGUAAAAUUGAAUAUUAGAUGUUCCCCCUUCUUAAAGCCCUCUCAACCAUCAAGGUAUUUUAUUAAUCCAAAACCACUCUCUUCCUUGGAGGAAUUCUACUGCCUGUCCUUAAAAUAAUAUUUUUACUACCAAUAUAAGGAUAAAUAAAUCCUAUUUUCAUAGCUGAAGAACAUUUACACCAUAGCAUCAGAAAGAGAUAAAGGAAAAGUGUAACCAUAAGCCAGCAAGUCCAGUAAUUGACAUUUUCAUGAGUGUUUUGGAAGUACCAUAGAAAGACAUUUAGCUCAGCCCAGGUGAGAAGGAGGAUCACUAGCUGAUCACCCCAAAGUUGAGUUUGAUUAAAUAAAUAGGAUUUAUUUAUCCAGAGAAGUGAAGAGGAGGUAAGAGGACUAGUAAGGCAGAAAGAUCAGGGUAAGCAAAGACUCAAGAGCAACAGACAGCUUGAUGUUUCCACGGAGCUAAAAUCAGCUAGGUCACACUAGCAUGGAGAGGUCUGGGAGAGGAAGAAAGUGGAGAGGUCACAGAAAGUCUACCAUGUCAUGUGAGGGUGUCUACGCCAUUUGCUGAGAAUGGGCAACCAUUGAAAAGUUUUGAGAGAAAGCAACAUGCUUGCACUCUAGCUGCCUCAACCUCAUGGUGUAUGGAUUUGAGGAAGGCAGGACUGGAGGCAGAUUUUGAAAGUGAAAGCAAGAGCUAUUUCAGAUGAGGGACACUCCUGAACUGGAGCAGCAGUGACAUAAAUAGAGAGAAGUCAAAUUUAAAAUAGCUGGGGAUGUACAACUGACAAUGCUUCGUGCAUGAAUGGGUAUUCAGAAAAAAAUUCCUCUAAGACAACUGAUGGAUGGGAGGAAUAAAUUUGACAACAUAGUAGAUGAAUUUUCUUUCUUGGUCAGUAGCCUGCAAAACUGCCAUGGAACAGACUUUUUUUUGCUUCCGUCUAGGAGACUGAGAUCAAUUUUAUUUAUUUAUAAUCCCCACAGGGCAUUAUGACAUCCUUUUCAACCAUUCUAAAAGUCAUUUCUCACUUAGCGUUAGAUUAAAAAAAAAGAAGAAGAACUUUUAGAAGUUGAUAUGAGCGGGGUAACCAUGGAUAGGGUAUACGCUUUUCCUUGGACUUUCAUUCUUAAUCCUGACUAUUCCUGUGAUAGCACAAGGCAUUCAUGCUGCCAGGCAUCCCAGGGAUGACCCAACAUAGUUAAAAUACUUUUAUUCUCUCCUGGCUUUUAUCACCUCUAAUGGGACCCUAACUUACAUAUUCUCUUUCAUUCUUCAUUAUUUUUUCCAGGAGAAGAUACGCCUGAAGCACUUUCUGUGCUCAUACAAUCUCUUCUUUCAACUUUAUAUCUCUCUGAGAAAGAACUUUUAUAAACUAGGUUAUGUAAGAAUAUCUCAGAUGUAAAUGCCGAUAGAAAAGAGAGGUACAGCAACCUGGGAAAACAACCUUUAAAAAUACCCACUGUAGCUUCUUUGUAAGCAUGAAGCUGGUAUCAGAUUCCAGUGUAAUUACUCAGCAAAUGCCCUUUUGAGAAAUGGAACUCCUCAAAACUUACCAUCACAUAAAAGAAAACUCAAAGUGAAUAAUACCCAGAAAAAUGCAAAUUAAGACAAUAAGACAUGACUGGCAAACGUUAGAAAAAUAGAAAAAGUCAAAUGUAGAUGGGAAUUUGCAGCUCUAGGAGGCAUCUGCUCUGCUGGAAGUGUCAGCUAGGCAGCCAUACUGGAAUACAAGCUGGUAUAUGGACUUAGUAAAUACACACUGACCCUAUGACUCGGCUUGCAUAAAAUGUGUGCAUAUCCCCAACUCAUACCACAGGCCACUCAGCUCUAUAUGAAGCACUGCUUGUGCCGGUAGGGAAUCUAGAGGAACCUGGAUGUGUAAAACUGUCAGUGGAUCAGUAAAAUGUGGAAUGCAAUUAGAAAAAGAAACAUAGAUGCACACGUUAUUCAGAUGAAUAUUGAGAACAGUAUUUUCGUGAAAAAUGUAGGUCAGAAAAGAUGUAUAUCAACAAUAUUAUUUACAUAAACUAAAAUACAUUGCACAUAAAGCAAUGUAUGUUUUGCAAGAACAUAUGUAAUAAAGACAAAUUAAACACACUAAGUACUUAGCUAUGCAGAAGAAGUUGUAAAAUUUGAAUUGGGCCAGGAAAUAAAGGAAAAUAAACACUUUUAUGUCUAAACGGUCAUUUUUCUGAUCUUUUGCAUUUUUCUAUCUUUGAUUCCUGAUUUCCCUUCACUUUUCUUUUUCUGUCUCUAUUCUACCAACAGUUUCUUUCAAAUUGAAAAAUAAAACUUUGAAGAAAACAUGUGCUCAAAAUGUGGAAAUAGGCCGGGUCCAGUGGGACACACCUGUAAUCCCAGCACUGUCGGG
RNAcentral lists this long non-coding RNA (6592 nucleotides) under Homo sapiens (human). Its description in RNAcentral is "HSALNT0249360". The record is from RNAcentral. Lineage: Eukaryota; Metazoa; Chordata; Mammalia; Primates; Hominidae.